UGAGGAAUAUUGGUCAAUGGACGAGAGUCUGAACCAGCCAAGUCGCGUGAAGGAAGACGGCGUUAUGCGUUGUAAACUUCUUUUGUUCGGGAAUAAAAAAGGGGACGUGUCCCCUAUUGUAUGUACCGAAAGAAUAAGGAUCGGCUAACUCCGUGCCAGCAGCCGCGGUAAUACGGAGGAUCCGAGCGUUAUCCGGAUUUAUUGGGUUUAAAGGGUGCGUAGGCGGGUUAUUAAGUCAGUGGUGAAAGUUUUCGGCUCAACCGGAAAAUUGCCAUUGAAACUGGUAGUCUUGAGUACAGUAGAGGUAAGCGGAAUUCGUGGUGUAGCGGUGAAAUGCUUAGAUAUCACGAAGAACUCCGAUUGCGAAGGCAGCUUGCUGGAGUGUUACUGACGCUGAUGCACGAAAGCGUGGGGAUCAAACA
This 422-nucleotide ribosomal RNA is filed under the name uncultured Bacteroidales bacterium. RNAcentral's name for it is "partial 16S ribosomal RNA". It matches the Rfam family "Bacterial small subunit ribosomal RNA", at positions 355 to 774 of the family's 1533-position model. The record is from RNAcentral. Lineage: Bacteria; Pseudomonadati; Bacteroidota; Bacteroidia; Bacteroidales.